GCUGACGAGCGGCGGACGGGUGAGUAAUGCAUAGGAAUCUGCCCGGUAGUGGGGGAUAACCUGGGGAAACCCAGGCUAAUACCGCAUACGUCCUACGGGAGAAAGGGGGCUUUGGCUCCCGCUAUUGGAUGAGCCUAUGUCGGAUUAGCUGGUUGGUGAGGUAACGGCUCACCAAGGCGACGAUCCGUAGCUGGUCUGAGAGGAUGAUCAGCCACAUCGGGACUGAGACACGGCCCGAACUCCUACGGGAGGCAGCAGUGGGGAAUAUUGGACAAUGGGGGCAACCCUGAUCCAGCCAUGCCGCGUGUGUGAAGAAGGCCCUCGGGUUGUAAAGCACUUUCAGCGAGGAAGAACGCCUGGCGGUUAAUACCCGCCAGGAAAGACAUCACUCGCAGAAGAAGCACCGGCUAACUCCGUGCCAGCAGCCGCGGUAAUACGGAGGGUGCAAGCGUUAAUCGGAAUUACUGGGCGUAAAGCGCGCGUAGGUGGCUUGAUAAGCCGGUUGUGAAAGCCCCGGGCUCAACCUGGGAACGGCAUCCGGAACUGUCAGGCUAGAGUGCAGGAGAGGAAGGUAGAAUUCCCGGUGUAGCGGUGAAAUG
RNAcentral lists this ribosomal RNA (599 nucleotides) under Algoriphagus winogradskyi. RNAcentral's name for it is "bacterial SSU rRNA". It matches the Rfam family "Bacterial small subunit ribosomal RNA", at positions 87 to 688 of the family's 1533-position model. Lineage: Bacteria; Pseudomonadati; Bacteroidota; Cytophagia; Cytophagales; Cyclobacteriaceae. The record is from RNAcentral.